UACGUAGGGGGCAAGCGUUGUCCGGAUUUAUUGGGCGUAAAGAGCGUGUAGGCGGCCUGAUAGGUCAGCUGCGAAAACUCGAGGCUCAACCUCGAGACGUCGGUUGAAACCAUCUGGCUAGAGUCCGGAAGAGGAGUGUGGAAUUCCCGGUGUAGCGGUGAAAUGCGUAGAGAUCAGCAGGAACACCCGUGGCGAAGGCGGCCCCCUGGGCAGAACCUGACGCUGAGGCGCGAAGGCGUGGGGAGCGAACAGG
RNAcentral lists this ribosomal RNA (253 nucleotides) under uncultured bacterium. RNAcentral's name for it is "partial 16S ribosomal RNA". It matches the Rfam family "Bacterial small subunit ribosomal RNA", at positions 524 to 776 of the family's 1533-position model. The record is from RNAcentral.